CACGUAGGGGGCGAGCGUUGUCCGGAAUUACUGGGCGUAAAGGGCGCGCAGGCUGUUAUGCGAGUCUGCUGUGAAAUGUACCGGCUCAACCGGUGCCUUGCGGCGGAUACUGCAUAGCUGGAGUACUGGAGAGGGAAGUGGAAUUCCCGGUGUAGCGGUGAAAUGCGUAGAUAUCAGGAGGAACACCAAUGGCGAAGGCAGGUCUCUGGGCAGUUACUGACGCUGAGGAGCGAAAGCAUGGGUAGCGAACAGGA
RNAcentral lists this ribosomal RNA (254 nucleotides) under uncultured prokaryote. RNAcentral describes it as "partial 16S ribosomal RNA". It matches the Rfam family "Bacterial small subunit ribosomal RNA", at positions 524 to 777 of the family's 1533-position model. The record is from RNAcentral.